Lactuca sativa (garden lettuce) is the source of this 1227-nucleotide non-coding RNA. The record is from RefSeq and is a predicted model, not a curated record. Lineage: Eukaryota; Viridiplantae; Streptophyta; Magnoliopsida; Asterales; Asteraceae.
GUCACUGAAUUUUUACUUUUACUUAUUUACAACCAUUUUUCUUUAUUCGUUAUCAUUUUCGUCUACCAUAUUCUUCUAUGAUUUAUUUUUUUUAUACUUGGAAUUUCCGUCAAACAUAUUCUUCUCCGUGCAAAGCACGGAUCUUUUCCUAGUUGGAAUUAAAGUUUGAAGAUUGGAAUUUAUUUUGUUAUAUAUAAGCAAAGGAGGGGUUGUUUUAUUUAAAACACACCAAAGUUUUGGGGGAAAGGACUUAUUUUGAAUAAACGGUUCAGCAGGGGUUUAAUGUGUUCAGUUUAUAAAAUCAAAUGAUUUUAGGGCUUUUUCUGCCCCUUGCCCUUUGUUGAUCGGGCAAAGGAAAAGAAUGAACGAAGCGAUGAGGGUAAAUACGACGAACACGAAGGCAGUCACGAGGGGAAAACACGGAGGCAAAACAAAUCGGGAGCAAAAAUCGUUUGGGGGGUUCGAUCCUCGUCUGAUCAGGGAAAAGAAUCACGAAUGGAAGCUAUGCGAGGCGAGGAUUUCGAUCGAGAAAUGAAGGACACGCGAAUGGGGAGCAGCGACAGGAAGGUUUCGGUGGCGAGUAGUCGAUCGUGAGGAGGGAACGUCUCUGGGGUCGACGAGGCCGAAGAAAUGAAUGGAGAAACAGCGAGGCUACUUUUGUUCUCCUCUGGCUUUGAGGUGCGAAGGAAGGAGGGGUCCGACGAGAUUCCGGGAGGGGAUAGGCAGCAGCGACGACGCGGGUGGGCUUCGGAGGGGUUUUCUCGAGGGAAGAAGAAGAGAAAGAUGCGAGGGCAGAUGGUUCGGCGAUUGGAGGUCAAUCGCAUGAAAGAAGAAGAAGGAAGCAAGAAAUGUGAUGAGGCUGCUUCUUCUUGAAAGGAAAAAAGAAAAGAAUGAGAGGCUGAUACCUCUUCGCUAUUCACCAGAAAACAGAACCACCUCCGGUGGUUCUAGGCUGCCACGAAGAAGAAGAAGAAAGAAGGGAGAUGAGGUGAAGCUUUGAAGGAUUGGAGGCAGCAUUAAGACUUGAAUGCUCAAUGGAAGGAAACGGCAGCAACAACACGUCUUGGUGUUCGUAUAAUGCAGGAGGGUACUUUGAAUGACAUUUUAGUGAGACUUGUAGACUUUCUUUUUGUUAGAUGAACACUUUAUGAGUUGUACAAUUGAUUGGUAAAGUGUGUAAGUCUCACUUUGUUUGGCUGUCAAUUUAAGAAGCGUAUUUGAUUUCAA